GAUAACGCUGCCGCCGCCGCCUCCCCGCGCACGGGCAGUGUGGCCAGGGGCGGCAGCCAGAGCAGCAGCCACCACCGCCCUUGGCGCGGCCCCAUUUCGUUAGGGGUCAGCUCCGUGCGACCCGAGCCCUAGGGGACCGGCUCCGCUGCGAGGAGCGGAAGUGGCGCGGGGGCUCAGAGAAGGCGGAGGGGGCGGUGAGGCCCGAACGCGGGAAAGGCGGAGACCCCGCCUCCCCGGGGCGGAGGGAGAGUUGGGCUCGUUGCUCCAGCCUCCGCCCGCGGCCUCGGGGCACGGCGGGCCCAGGCCGGAGGAGCUUUCGGUGGCGCGACCCCGCUGGCAUGCUCCCGGCCUCGGCCUCGGCCUCGGCCUUGGCCUCCGGGCCUCCAGCGCACGCGGGGCGUCCAGGGCCUCAUCUUCCCCUGGGGACCGCCCGGCCGUGUCCCGCUGCCCUCGGCGCAGGGGUGGGAGUUGCAGAGAGGAAGAGUCGCUAACCCGGAGUGUUUCUUAAAACUUGGCUGACCUGUGACCUGCGGAUUUGGAGGCUGAAUUCUCCGAGCACCUCACUUCUCUCCUGCUGCCUUGUGAAGAAGGACAUGUUUGCUUCCCCUUCC
Molecule: long non-coding RNA, 611 nt
Filed under: Homo sapiens (human)
Lineage: Eukaryota; Metazoa; Chordata; Mammalia; Primates; Hominidae
Description: HSALNT0044900
Source: RNAcentral